GGCGAACGCUGGCGGCGUGCUUAACACAUGCAAGUCGAACGGAAAGGCCCUGCUUUUGUGGGGUGCUCGAGUGGCGAACGGGUGAGUAACACGUGAGUAACCUGCCCUUGACUUUGGGAUAACUUCAGGAAACUGGGGCUAAUACCGGAUAGGAGCUCCUGCUGCAUGGUGGGGGGUGGAAAGUUUCGGCGGUUGGGGAUGGACUCGCGGCUUAUCAGCUUGUUGGUGGGGUAGUGGCUUACCAAGGCUUUGACGGGUAGCCGGCCUGAGAGGGUGACCGGCCACAUUGGGACUGAGAUACGGCCCAGACUCCUACGGGAGGCAGCAGUGGGGAAUAUUGCACAAUGGGCGGAAGCCUGAUGCAGCAACGCCGCGUGCGGGAUGACGGCCUUCGGGUUGCAAACCGCUUUCGCCUGUGACGAAGCGUGAGUGACGGUAAUGGGUAAAGAAGCACCGGCUAACUACGUG
RNAcentral lists this ribosomal RNA (468 nucleotides) under uncultured bacterium. Its description in RNAcentral is "partial 16S ribosomal RNA". It matches the Rfam family "Bacterial small subunit ribosomal RNA", at positions 28 to 507 of the family's 1533-position model. The record is from RNAcentral.